AACGAACGCUGGCGGCAGGCCUAACACAUGCAAGUCGAGCGAGGACUUCGGUCCUAGCGGCGGACGGGUGAGUAACGCGUGGGAACGUGCCCUUUGCUUCGGAAUAGCCCUGGGAAACUGGGAGUAAUACCGGAUGAGCCCUUUGGGGGAAAGAUUUAUCGGCGAAGGAUCGGCCCGCGUUGGAUUAGGUAGUUGGUGGGGUAAUGGCCUACCAAGCCGACGAUCCAUAGCUGGUUUGAGAGGAUGAUCAGCCACACUGGGACUGAGACACGGCCCAGACUCCUACGGGAGGCAGCAGUGGGGAAUCUUAGACAAUGGGGGAAACCCUGAUCUAGCCAAGCCGCGUGAGCGAUGAAGGCCUUAGGGUUGUAAAGCUCUUUCAGCUGGGAAGAUAAUGACGGUACCAGCAGAAGAAGCCCCGGCUAACUCCGUG
RNAcentral lists this ribosomal RNA (433 nucleotides) under uncultured bacterium. Its description in RNAcentral is "partial 16S ribosomal RNA". It matches the Rfam family "Bacterial small subunit ribosomal RNA", at positions 29 to 507 of the family's 1533-position model. The record is from RNAcentral.